AUUAGUUCAGCUUGGAUUAAGCAUACUCAAUAGAAUUAUUGUUAUUAUUUUACUUUAUAGCUUUAGUUUUCCGAAAUCGGCAUAAUAUCCCAUAAAUUCCAGGAUUUACCAUUUAAAAUUAUCUCCUUUCUUGCUAAAAUAAACAUAAAUUCAUGACUCUUAAUUGCAAAUUUGACCAAAAAUAAAACCCAUAAUAACUUAAUCACCAAGGUUCCAAAACUCAUAACCAAAUUUUCCACACCAAAAAAAAAAGUCAUACCAACAACUUUAUUACUAUAGCCUUCCCUUAUUCAUUCAACGACAUACUUAUCAAACUAAGCAAAAGUAGCUAAGUAGUAAAACAAGCUCAGACGAAGAAGCGAAAAUUAGCUAGAGGAGUGUCUCCUUCAGCACAAGCUCGAUGCACACGAGCCAUCCGGUCAACGGACUUACAAAUCCCGCUGCAAGACCAAUCGAACGACGCAGCACAUACGUUACCAGCUUGUGCUUUCCAUUGACAAUCAGGUGGAGUUCCACAACACAUUGACCUCUCGUCCACAUGCUCCACUUCUAACCCUAACAUCCAUGCUCCUAACGACACAUCCUCGUUCGCGUACCGGUGUAGUAUUCCUCUGCGGAUAUGUCCACCGAAUCAAACCUCAAAAUCUGAAUACUUUUACGUAUAUAUAACAUCCUUGAAUUUGAAAGCCCUUACUGGUUAGUGGAGAUAUAUGUAGCUAAGUCUUUAGAGAUUGCGUAAAUUUGACCUGUUGCAUGCCUAAAGUAUUUGUUACCUUCUUCUCCAAAUUUCCAAAACUCUGGCUCGUGGUACUUCACUCCUCUAUACAUUUCCAAAAAUCCUUACUUUAGUUCAGAUUUUUAUCCAAAGGUUUCAAAUUUUUUGUAAAGAAGCUUACUUUUGUGAAAGAACAGGACCAGACUUCAUGCAUCCAAUGUAAAUCCUUGGUCUUGAUUGAUAUCUCGCAAGUGUUGUAACAAGCAUACCUAAAUUGACAUGAACAUCAUCAUCCACUUUCACGUAGAACUCUGCGUCAUACAUUGCAGUUGCUGUUGAGAAGUACAGUCUUGUCUUUGUCGAGAGUUGGUGAUAUCCUUCAAUGUGUUUUAGUCUUAAGAAAUCUUUAUGCUCUGAAUCUUCUUCAUCUAUGGCUUUAUCUAAUACUCCUCCUGGUGUUGCACUGUGUCCUAUCACAAACCUGUCAAAUAAAAAUCCAAACUUUCUCUGUUUCAUAUGACUGAGGUUUGGUUGUUUAGAUUUUUAAAGUAGUGAAAUUGAGGAUACUUGUGGCUUACUUCACAACCUUACAACAAUCCCUUUCUCUUUCUCGAUUUUCUUUAGCUUUUCUCCUGUUGGCAUCCACGUUUGUCUCACCGAGUCACGUCUUUUCUUGCUGCUGAAUGCUGUGUUAAUGCCUAUCACUGCAAACACUUUCUGCAGACGGCUCUGGUUUUUCGCCGACCGUUCGCUCCAGAACUCACUGCUUCUAUCGCUGGUACGUGCUGCUGCUAACUCCAUCUCCAAUGUUGACAUUGUUCUCUCCAAUGAUCUAAUAAUAUAAACACUUUUAGUGUUACCUCCUCUGUUCUAAUUAUGUAAAGAAACACAAGAAAGAAUAAGAUUUUAUUACUUUACUGCUUGGUGAGUUCUCGAUACUUCUCCUAUUAUGUCUCUGGAUUUGCUUUCUAUCAAUUUCUGAAUCAACAAAGAGUAACACUUGUUGUUAGUGAGUAAUAUAUAUGAUGAGCAUGAGCAGGUGUUAAUCAAGUAGCCUUACGCGUUUAUGUUCAUCGCAGUCCUUUUGAAUCUCUAAAUGUUUGGACAAAUGCUUUGUGAGAUGGUGAUCUUCUUCUUCAGGUAUGUAAGAGCGACUCAAAGUUCGACUCAUGAACAGUGAGCCUGCAAGAAAGCUGGCUAGACAAAGCACUAUUAUGGCUUUCCCCGAAGCAGCUUUCGCCCUCAUCUCCGCGCCUCCUUAGUGCUAAAUCUAGAAAACAUCAAAUAAUUGAUCAUGAAUUAUGAGGAUGCUAUAAACUUCAUAGUUACAUAGACAUAUACAACUUUUCUUUUUCUAAUAUAAUCAAAUCUGUUUUAUAUGAUAAAAUGCCAUUUGCAGGAGAUUUUUCUGAAUCAAGAACGUUAUGGACUAAGGCUAUACAUUAAGGAACUCAAAGAUUAUUGCGUGAGAAUCAAGAACGUACCUCUCUAUAAGCGCAUAUGAGACACCAAAAGGACUGAAUUUUGAGAUUAAGAAACAAGUCUUGAAUGUUGAGGAGAUGUUAUUUAUAUAAAAUGAAAACAAGAAUGUAGUUGCAGAACGGCAAUGGCGUUUAUGUUUUGCUUCUCUCUCUCAAUCUGACUGUCUUGUCAUGCAAUGUACAUGUCCCAACUAACUAUUUCCAUAUAGUAUAGAUAUUACGAAACAAAAGGAGAAAUCCCACAAAAACUAUAGUUUUGGUUUUGUUUUUGCUUUCC
This 2473-nucleotide long non-coding RNA is filed under the name Arabidopsis thaliana (thale cress). RNAcentral describes it as "potential natural antisense gene, locus overlaps with AT1G33420 and AT1G33430 (AT1G33415)". Lineage: Eukaryota; Viridiplantae; Streptophyta; Magnoliopsida; Brassicales; Brassicaceae. The record is from RNAcentral.